This 410-nucleotide ribosomal RNA is filed under the name uncultured microorganism. RNAcentral's name for it is "bacterial SSU rRNA". It matches the Rfam family "Archaeal small subunit ribosomal RNA", at positions 330 to 745 of the family's 1478-position model. The record is from RNAcentral.
GUGCAGCAGUCGAGAAAACUUUACAAUGUGCGAAAGCACGAUAAGGGAACUCUGAGUGCCUCCUAAGGAGGCUGUUCAGGUGUCUAAAAAGCACCUGGAGUAAGGGCUGGGUAAGACCGGUGCCAGCCGCCGCGGUAACACCGGCAGCCCAGGUGGUAGCCACUUUUAUUGGGUCUAAAGCGUCCGUAGCCGGUUGAGUAAGUUCCUUGGGAAAUUUGGCUGCUCAACAGUCAAGCUUCCAGGGAAUACUGCUCGACUUGGGACUGGGAGAGGUCAGAGGUACUCCAGGGGUAGGGGUGAAAUCCAUUAAUCCCUGGGGGACCACCGGUAGCGAAGGCGUCUGACCAGACCAGGUCCGACGGUGAGGGACGAAGGCUAGGGUCGCGAACCGGAUUAGAUACCCCCGUAGU